GAUCCUGGCUCAGGAUGAACGCUAGCUACAGGCUUAACACAUGCAAGUCGAGGGGAAACGACAUCGAAAGCUUGCUUUUGAUGGGCGUCGACCGGCGCACGGGUGAGUAACGCGUAUCCAACCUGCCCACCACUUGGGGAUAACCUUGCGAAAGUAAGACUAAUACCCAAUGACGUCUUUAGAAGACAUCUGAAAGAGAUUAAAGAUUUAUCGGUGAUGGAUGGGGAGUGCGUCUGAUUAG
Molecule: ribosomal RNA, 241 nt
Filed under: uncultured bacterium
Lineage: Bacteria
Description: partial 16S ribosomal RNA
Rfam family: Bacterial small subunit ribosomal RNA
Source: RNAcentral